Molecule: unclassified non-coding RNA, 188 nt
Filed under: uncultured fungus
Lineage: Eukaryota; Fungi
Description: sequence contains ITS1
Source: RNAcentral
UUAACGAUUAUAUAAGGACUCAGACAACACAAUCAAGAGCGUGUGUGGGUCUCUGACGGGCACGCACCAGCCGGUGGCCGAACGGACGGCCCGCCAAAGCAACAAAGUUGGAUAAGCUAGGGUGGGGGAGAUCUACCCCGGGGGGCAGGAACUCGAUAAUGAUCCUUCCGCAGGUUCACCUACGGAAA